UGAGGAAUAUUGGUCAAUGGACGUAAGUCUGAACCAGCCAAGUCGCGUGAGGGAAGACUGCCCUAUGGGUUGUAAACCUCUUUUAUAAGGGAAGAAUAAGUUCUACGUGUAGAAUGAUGCCUGUACCUUAUGAAUAAGCAUCGGCUAACUCCGUGCCAGCAGCCGCGGUAAUACGGAGGAUGCGAGCGUUAUCCGGAUUUAUUGGGUUUAAAGGGUGCGUAGGCGGUUUAUUAAGUUAGUGGUUAAAUAUUUGAGCUAAACUCAAUUGUGCCAUUAAUACUGGUAAACUGGAGUACAGACGAGGUAGGCGGAAUAAGUUAAGUAGCGGUGAAAUGCAUAGAUAUAACUUAGAACUCCGAUAGCGAAGGCAGCUUACCAGACUGUAACUGACGCUGAUGCACGAGAGCGUGGGUAGCGAACAGGAUUAGAUACCCUGGUAGUCCACGCCGUAAACGAUGCUCACUGGUUCUGUGCGAUAUAUUGUACGGGAUUAAGCGAAAGUAUUAAGUGAGCCACCUGGGGAGUACGUCGGCAACGAUGAAACUCAAAGGAAUUGACGGGGGCCCGCACAAGCGGAGGAACAUGUGGUUUAAUUCGAUGAUACGCGAGGAACCUUACCUGGGUUUAAAUGGGAAAUGUCGUAUUUGGAAACAGAUAUUCUCUUCGGAGCGUUUUUCAAGGUGCUGCAUGGUUGUCGUCAGCUCGUGCCGUGAGGUGUCGGGUUAAGUCCCAUAACGAGCGCAACCCUUACCGUUAGUUGCUAGCAUGUAAUGAUGAGCACUCUAACGGGACUGCCACCGUAAGGUGAGAGGAAGGCGGGGAUGACGUCAAAUCAGCACGGCCCUUACACCCAGGGCUACACACGUGUUACAAUGGCCGGUACAGAGGGCCGCUACCAGGUGACUGGAUGCCAAUCUCAAAAGCCGGUCGUAGUUCGGAUUGGAGUCUGUAACCCGACUCCAUGAAGUUGGAUUCGCUAGUAAUCGCGCAUCAGCCAUGGCGCGGUGAAUACGUUCCC
Molecule: ribosomal RNA, 1018 nt
Filed under: uncultured bacterium
Lineage: Bacteria
Also listed under: 1 other name
Description: bacterial SSU rRNA
Rfam family: Bacterial small subunit ribosomal RNA
Source: RNAcentral